GGAGAGGGAAACAACCCAGACCGCCAGCUAAGGUCCCCAAGYUAUCGCUAAGUGGGAAACGAUGUGGGAAGGCUCAGACAGCCAGGAUGUUGGCUUAGAAGCAGCCAUCAUUUAAAGAAAGCGUAAUAGCUCACUGGUCGAGUCGGCCUGCGCGGAAGAUGUAACGGGGCUAAGCGAUACACCGAAGCUGCGGCAAUGUCCUUAUGGAUAUUGGGUAGGGGAGCGUUGUGUAAGCUGUUGAAGGUGWGCUGAGAGGCWUGCUGGAGGUAUCACAAGUGCGAAUGCUGACAUGAGUAACGAUAAAGGGGGUGAAAAACCUCCUCGCCGGAAGACCAAGGGUUCCUGUCCAACGUUAAUCGGGGCAGGGUAAGUCGGCCCCUAAGGCGAGGCCGAAAGGCGUAGUCGAUGGGAAACGGGUUAAUAUUCCCGUACUGCUGCUUACUGCGAUGGGGGGACGGAGAAGGCUAGGUGGGCCUGGCGAUGGUUGUCCAGGUUCAAGNAAAGGGGGUGAAAAACCUCCUCGCCGGAAGACCAAGGGUUCCUGUCCAACGUUAAUCGGGGCAGGGUAAGUCGGCCCCUAAGGCGAGGCCGAAAGGCGUAGUCGAUGGGAAACGGGUUAAUAUUCCCGUACUGCURCUUACUGCGAUGGGGGGACGGAGAAGGCUAGGUGGGCCUGGCGAUGGUUGUCCAGGUUCAAGUGCGUAGGCUGAUUUCUUAGGCAAAUCCGGGAAAUCAAGGCCGAGACACGAUGUCGAGCCACCAAGGUGGUGAAGUCAUUGAUGCCAUGCUUCCGGGAAAAGCCUCUAAGCUUCAGGUAAGUAGGAACCGUACUCCAAACCGACACAGGUGGUCGGGUAGAGAAUACCAAGGCGCUUGAGAGAACUCGGGUGAAGGAACUAGGCAAAAUGGUACCGUAACUUCGGGAGAAGGUACGCUGCCCACGG
RNAcentral lists this ribosomal RNA (944 nucleotides) under Salinivibrio kushneri. RNAcentral's name for it is "bacterial LSU rRNA". It matches the Rfam family "Bacterial large subunit ribosomal RNA", at positions 1013 to 1760 of the family's 2925-position model. Lineage: Bacteria; Pseudomonadati; Pseudomonadota; Gammaproteobacteria; Vibrionales; Vibrionaceae. The record is from RNAcentral.